UACGUAGGUGGCAAGCGUUGUCCGGAUUUACUGGGCGUAAAGAGCGCGCAGGCGGUCGUUCAAGUCGCGUGUGAAAGCCCCCGGCUCAACUGGGGAGGGUCACGCGAUACUGAUCGACUCGAAGGCAGGAGAGGGUAGUGGAAUUCCCGGUGUAGUGGUGAAAUGCGUAGAUAUCGGGAGGAACACCAGUGGCGAAGGCGGCUCACUGGUCCGGUACUGACGCUGAGGUGCGAAAGCGUGGGGAGCAAACAGG
Molecule: ribosomal RNA, 253 nt
Filed under: uncultured bacterium
Lineage: Bacteria
Description: partial 16S ribosomal RNA
Rfam family: Bacterial small subunit ribosomal RNA
Source: RNAcentral